Molecule: long non-coding RNA, 486 nt
Filed under: Olea europaea (common olive)
Lineage: Eukaryota; Viridiplantae; Streptophyta; Magnoliopsida; Lamiales; Oleaceae
Description: long non-coding RNA (OEUR_LNC000103)
Source: RNAcentral
AAAAUCAACUCCCAAGUGAAAUAUUCCAUUUAUAUUAUCACUUCCACAAUUAAUUAAUUAAAAUCCCCAUAAUCGGAUUCUAGGGUUUCCAAAAAUUUCACUGCCUAAACACCUUGUUAAAACUGAAACAUAAUUAAUCCCUAAGCUUGAGCUCCAAAUUGCACAUAUAUCACAUAAAUUUAACAUUUUAUUAUUACAUGAUAAAACCCUAAAAAUUUUAAUAUAAACCAUACUUAAUCACCUAAAACAAAUGGAAAAUUUCAACCCAAACUUGAAGAUAUCAACCUUACCUUUUUUCCUCUUCUUUUUCUCUUCUUCUUUUUCUCUUUUUCUCUUCUUCUUUUUCUUUCCUUCUUGGCCGGUUCUGCUUCUUCCCGUUUUUAGUGUGUGUGUGUGUGUGAAAUUGGGUGAAAAUUUGGUCAAAUGGUUGAAUAUAUUGUCCAAAACCCAAAAUUUGCAUAAUAAGUCCCUUAACUUCACUUUUUA